Molecule: transfer RNA, 92 nt
Filed under: Truepera sp.
Lineage: Bacteria; Thermotogati; Deinococcota; Deinococci; Trueperales; Trueperaceae
Description: tRNA-Ser
Rfam family: tRNA
About the family: Transfer RNA (tRNA) molecules are approximately 80 nucleotides in length. Their secondary structure includes four short double-helical elements and three loops (D, anti-codon, and T loops).
Source: RNAcentral
GGAGAGGUGUCCGAGUGGUUUAAGGAGCACGCCUGGAAAGCGUGUAGGUGGUCAACGCUGCCUCGCGGGUUCGAAUCCCGCUCUCUCCGCCA